AUUGAACGCUGGCGGCAUGCCUUACACAUGCAAGUCGAACGGCAGCAUGGGUGCUUGCACCUGAUGGCGAGUGGCGAACGGGUGAGUAAUGCAUCGGAACGUACCCGGAAGUGGGGGAUAACGUAGCGAAAGUUACGCUAAUACCGCAUAUUCUGUGAGCAGGAAAGCGGGGGAUCGCAAGACCUCGCGCUUCCGGAGCGGCCGAUGUCGGAUUAGCUAGUUGGCGGGGUAAAGGCCCACCAAGGCAACGAUCCGUAGCGGGUCUGAGAGGAUGAUCCGCCACACUGGGACUGAGACACGGCCCAGACUCCUACGGGAGGCAGCAGUGGGGAAUUUUGGACAAUGGGGGCAACCCUGAUCCAGCCAUGCCGCGUGAGUGAAGAAGGCCUUCGGGUUGUAAAGCUCUUUCGGCUGGGAAGAAAUCGCAUCUCCUAAUACGGGGUGUGGAUGACGGUACCAGCAUAAGAAGCACCGGCUAACUACGUGCCAGCCGCCGCCGUAA
Molecule: ribosomal RNA, 502 nt
Filed under: uncultured bacterium
Lineage: Bacteria
Description: partial 16S ribosomal RNA
Rfam family: Bacterial small subunit ribosomal RNA
Source: RNAcentral